UAACGAUACGGGACUCAUCCGAGGCCCCGUAAUCGGAAUGAGUACACUUUAAAUCCUUUAACGAGGACCCAUUGGAGGGCAAGUCUGGUGCCAGCAGCCGCGGUAAUUCCAGCUCCAAUAGCGUAUAUUAAAGUUGUUGCGGUUAAAAAGCUCGUAGUUGAAUCUGUGUGCCACGCUGUCGGUUCAUCGCUCGCGAUGUUUAACUGACAUGAUUGUGGGACGUCCUACCGGUGGGCUUAGCUCCUCACGGGGCGGUCCAGCUAAUAUCCCAUCGCGGUGCUCUUCAUCGAGUGUCGAGGUGGGCCGGUACGUUUACUUUGAACAAAUUAGAGUGCUCAAAGCAGGCUAUGUUUGCCUGAAUACUGCGUGCAUGGAAUAAUGGAAUAGGACCUCGGUUCUAUUUUGUUGGUUUUCGGAACCCCGAGGUAAUGAUUAAUAGGGACAGAUGGGGGCAUUCGUAUUGCGACGUUAGAGGUGAAAUUCUUGGAUCGUCGCAAGACGGACAGAAGCGAAAGCAUUUGCCAAAAAUGUUUUCAUUAAUCAAGAACGAAAGUUAGAGGUUCGAAGGCGAUCAGAUACCGCCCUAGUUCUAACCAUAAACGAUGCCAGCUAGCGAUCCGCCGAAGUUCCUCCGAUGACUCGGCGGGCAGCUUCCGGGAAACCAAAGCUUUUGGGUUCCGGGGGAAGUAUGGUUGCAAAGCUGAAACUUAAAGGAAUUGACGGAAGGGCACCACCAGGAGUGGAGCCUGCGGCUUAAUUUGACUCAACAC
Molecule: ribosomal RNA, 770 nt
Filed under: Chaetogramma occidentalis
Lineage: Eukaryota; Metazoa; Arthropoda; Insecta; Hymenoptera; Trichogrammatidae
Also listed under: 2 other names
Description: SSU rRNA
Rfam family: Eukaryotic small subunit ribosomal RNA
Source: RNAcentral